UGCUGAAUAAGCGGGAGAAGCAAUGAAAACGAAGCAAUAAAUUUCCAAACUGGUGCCGUCAUGUCUGGCAUGGUUUGUGCGACUCGAUUCGGUGCGAUCCGAAUCCAAAUACGAAUCCGAUAUUGAGUGGGUUAGACGUUAGAGAGGUGAGGAGCACAAUCCGGAGAAUGGAGCCGAAACUGAAGCCGAAGCCGAAACCGAUCGACCAGCUUGUUUCUGUUCUGAUCGUUGUGUCGUUGGCGUUUUCUUCUCGUCGUUCGUCGUCGUCGUCGUCGUUAUUGUUGUUGUUGUUGUGCUGCUGUUACUUUAGCCGAGGCAUGGCGUUUGAUAUAAUCAACAAAAGCCAGGCGUUUUUUUUUGCUGUUGUUACCUUUUCUUCGAAAUCUUUCUGAUUCCUCAUUGAUAUUGGAAAUAUUUCUUUUUUUAUUCAUUCGUUUACAAAUAAAAAGAACACAAUUUUUUUUGGUGUGUAUGUAUUCGAUAUCCUAAAAGAUUCAAAGCACACACACAAUCAAACAUAUAAAAUGACGAUCAACACAAUUAAAUUGAUAUAAACUGGUUUCAUUUGCUUUGAAAUAAAGCGGCGGAUUUGCGCUAGCAUUUCAUUACUGGUUUUUAAUAUCACGUUAUUCGUCAAUUGAAUUGGGUUUAAGUUUUUUUUAAUUUUUGCUUCUUUUGUGUAAAAAGAGAUCGAGAGAAUUAUACAACAAGCGAGGGGGAUGCUGUAGCUGAGCGAGGCUGUGCCUGUGAUGCUCUUAAAUGAUCUGCGCGAUUUGCGAAGCGAUGGAUGUCGACGGAGGCUGCGGAGCGCAGAAACGCGGCAACAAACGGCGGCGUUAUGAAUGAGGUGCAUGCGGCUGGAAAAUAAAUAUAAGUCAAUUGACGACAGAGGCGAAUCUUCAUGCGGUAGGUGACAAUUCGCUUCAAUUGGCCUCAUUCAUAAACCAGUUGAAUAUACAUCUUUAUACCUACCUACAAAACACAUAUCUAGAUACAUAGAUACAAACUAUACUUUAGGUAGAAAUAAAUGAGUAUUUAUUUAUA
Molecule: long non-coding RNA, 1044 nt
Organism: Eupeodes corollae
Lineage: Eukaryota; Metazoa; Arthropoda; Insecta; Diptera; Syrphidae
Exons: 2
Source: RefSeq, a predicted model, not a curated record